This 253-nucleotide ribosomal RNA is filed under the name uncultured prokaryote. RNAcentral's name for it is "partial 16S ribosomal RNA". It matches the Rfam family "Bacterial small subunit ribosomal RNA", at positions 524 to 776 of the family's 1533-position model. The record is from RNAcentral.
UACGAGGGGGGCGAGCGUUGUUCGGAAUUAUUGGGCGUAAAGGGCGCGUAGGCGGUGCGGUAAGUCACCUGUGAAACCUCUGGGCUUAACUCAGAGCCUGCAGGCGAAACUGCCGUGCUGGAGUGUGGGAGAGGUGCGUGGAAUUCCCGGUGUAGCGGUGAAAUGCGUAGAUAUCAGGAGGAACACCGGCGGUGUAGGCGGCUUGCUAGACCAUAACUGACGCUGAGGCACGAAAGCGUGGGUAGCAAACAGG